RNAcentral lists this ribosomal RNA (1523 nucleotides) under Pseudomonas aeruginosa. RNAcentral's name for it is "16S ribosomal RNA". It matches the Rfam family "Bacterial small subunit ribosomal RNA". The record is from RNAcentral. Lineage: Bacteria; Pseudomonadati; Pseudomonadota; Gammaproteobacteria; Pseudomonadales; Pseudomonadaceae.
AGAGUUUGAUCAUGGCUCAGAUUGAACGCUGGCGGCAGGCCUAACACAUGCAAGUCGAGCGGAUGAAGGGGGCUUGCUCCUGGAUUCAGCGGCGGACGGGUGAGUAAUGCCUAGGAAUCUGCCUGGUAGUGGGGGAUAACGUCCGGAAACGGGCGCUAAUACCGCAUACGUCCUGAGGGAGAAAGUGGGGGAUCUUCGGACCUCACGCUAUCAGAUGAGCCUAGGUCGGAUUAGCUAGUUGGUGGGGUAAAGGCCUACCAAGGCGACGAUCCGUAACUGGUCUGAGAGGAUGAUCAGUCACACUGGAACUGAGACACGGUCCAGACUCCUACGGGAGGCAGCAGUGGGGAAUAUUGGACAAUGGGCGAAAGCCUGAUCCAGCCAUGCCGCGUGUGUGAAGAAGGUCUUCGGAUUGUAAAGCACUUUAAGUUGGGAGGAAGGGCAGUAAGUUAAUACCUUGCUGUUUUGACGUUACCAACAGAAUAAGCACCGGCUAACUUCGUGCCAGCAGCCGCGGUAAUACGAAGGGUGCAAGCGUUAAUCGGAAUUACUGGGCGUAAAGCGCGCGUAGGUGGUUCAGCAAGUUGGAUGUGAAAUCCCCGGGCUCAACCUGGGAACUGCAUCCAAAACUACUGAGCUAGAGUACGGUAGAGGGUGGUGGAAUUUCCUGUGUAGCGGUGAAAUGCGUAGAUAUAGGAAGGAACACCAGUGGCGAAGGCGACCACCUGGACUGAUACUGACACUGAGGUGCGAAAGCGUGGGAGCAAACAGGAUUAGAUACCCUGGUAGUCCACGCCGUAAACGAUGUCGACUAGCCGUUGGGAUCCUUGAGAUCUUAGUGGCGCAGCUAACGCGAUAAGUCGACCGCCUGGGGAGUACGGCCGCAAGGUUAAAACUCAAAUGAAUUGACGGGGGCCCGCACAAGCGGUGGAGCAUGUGGUUUAAUUCGAAGCAACGCGAAGAACCUUACCUGGCCUUGACAUGCUGAGAACUUUCCAGAGAUGGAUUGGUGCCUUCGGGAACUCAGACACAGGUGCUGCAUGGCUGUCGUCAGCUCGUGUCGUGAGAUGUUGGGUUAAGUCCCGUAACGAGCGCAACCCUUGUCCUUAGUUACCAGCACCUCGGGUGGGCACUCUAAGGAGACUGCCGGUGACAAACCGGAGGAAGGUGGGGAUGACGUCAAGUCAUCAUGGCCAUUACGGCCAGGGCUACACACGUGCUACAAUGGUCGGUACAAAGGGUUGCCAAGCCGCGAGGUGGAGCUAAUCCCAUAAAACCGAUCGUAGUCCGGAUCGCAGUCUGCAACUCGACUGCGUGAAGUCGGAAUCGCUAGUAAUCGUGAAUCAGAAUGUCACGGUGAAUACGUUCCCGGGCCUUGUACACACCGCCCGUCACACCAUGGGAGUGGGUUGCUCCAGAAGUAGCUAGUCUAACCGCAAGGGGGACGGUUACCACGGAGUGAUUCAUGACUGGGGUGAAGUCGUAACAAGGUAGCCGUAGGGGAACCUGCGGCUGGAUCACCU